This 499-nucleotide ribosomal RNA is filed under the name uncultured bacterium. RNAcentral's name for it is "partial 16S ribosomal RNA". It matches the Rfam family "Bacterial small subunit ribosomal RNA", at positions 28 to 507 of the family's 1533-position model. The record is from RNAcentral.
GACGAACGCUGGCGGCGUGCCUAAUACAUGCAAGUCGAGCGGACCAAACAGGAGCUUGCUCUUGUUUGGUUAGCGGCGGACGGGCGAGUAACACGUGGGUAACCUGCCCGUAAGACCGGGAUAACUCCGGGAAACCGGAGCUAAUACCGGAUAACACCGAAGACCGCAUGGUCUUUGGUUGAAAGGCGGCUUCGGCUGCCACUUACGGAUGGGCCCGCGGCGCAUUAGCUAGUUGGUGAGGUAACGGCUCACCAAGGCGACGAUGCGUAGCCGGCCUGAGAGGGUGACCGGCCACACUGGGACUGAGACACGGCCCAGACUCCUACGGGAGGCAGCAGUAGGGAAUCUUCCGCAAUGGACGAAAGUCUGACGGAGCGACGCCGCGUGAGCGAAGAAGGUCUUCGGAUCGUAAAGCUCUGUUGUUAGGGAAGAAGAAGCGCCGUUCGAACAGGGCGGCGCGGUGACGGUACCUAACGAGAAAGCCCCGGCUAACUACGUG